Molecule: ribosomal RNA, 490 nt
Filed under: uncultured Pseudomonadota bacterium
Lineage: Bacteria; Pseudomonadati; Pseudomonadota
Description: bacterial SSU rRNA
Rfam family: Bacterial small subunit ribosomal RNA
Source: RNAcentral
UGGGGAAUUUUGGACAAUGGGCGCAAGCCUGAUCCAGCCAUUCCGCGUGCAGGAUGAAGGCCUUCGGGUUGUAAACUGCUUUUGUACGGAACGAAAAGCCGCUUUCUAAUACAGAGCGGUCAUGACGGUACCGUAAGAAUAAGCACCGGCUAACUACGUGCCAGCAGCCGCGGUAAUACGUAGGGUGCGAGCGUUAAUCGGAAUUACUGGGCGUAAAGCGUGCGCAGGCGGUUUGUAAGCCAGAUGUGAAAUCCCCGGGCUCAACCUGGGAAUGGCAUUUGGGACUGCAAGGCUGGAGUGCGGCAGAGGAGACUGGAAUUCCCGGUGUAGCAGUGAAAUGCGUAGAUAUCGGGAGGAAUACCGAUGGCGAAGGCAGGUCUCUGGGCUGACACUGACGCUCAUGCACGAAAGCGUGGGGAGCAAACAGGAUUAGAUACCCUGGUAGUCCACGCCCUAAACGAUGUCGACUGGUUGUUGGGGGUUUGACGAC